AAGGAAAACAAUUCCCUAGUUGCUGCACUCACUCGAAGACACACAUCAAUAAAAACAAACAUAUGUUCGAUGAAUUCACUCCGACCGAGUCGCAGUUCAUCUAUCCUUGACAAUUGCAUCAGAUAAGUACAAGAAUCGUAUUAUUUCAUACAAAAAUCCAGACCACCUAUUUCACCAUGUUUCAUUGUGUUUUACCAAACAAUUUCAGAGUGCCUAUCCUUGAUGUACUCACGUAAGAAUAAUCUGUUACAAUUUCGAUUCUCGCGGACGAUGCUGAGAAUCAACCUGAAGCAUCCGCUACCAAAUUCGGGGUGCACACUCUCAACCACCUAGGCUACAAAACUCAACAGCGGACCUAGUUUGGCCGAGCGAUGCACUCCCAUUGGGCAUCAGAACUGGCAGCACUUCCGCGGCUGUGCUUCAAGACGUGGAAACAAAACAGAAAUCAUGUGAGCUUAAGUUUUGAGGUAUAUUCGACAUUUGCCGAAUGAAGUUCAAAAACUUCGACGAACUGAAACGGACACGAUUCUCGCAGCUCCGGGGUUUUGGCUCUUGCUGAGUUGGACUAGUAAACACAGCUGACUCAGCAGCAAACCCACGGAGAUUUGCCACCUAGUUAUUUCAUGGCGCCAGCUAAGAAAAAUUCCAG
Molecule: long non-coding RNA, 649 nt
Filed under: Physcomitrium patens
Lineage: Eukaryota; Viridiplantae; Streptophyta; Bryopsida; Funariales; Funariaceae
Description: long non-coding RNA (PPAT_LNC002901)
Source: RNAcentral